This 77-nucleotide transfer RNA is filed under the name Planctomycetota bacterium. Its description in RNAcentral is "Planctomycetes bacterium tRNA-Val". It matches the Rfam family "tRNA". From Rfam's summary of the family: Transfer RNA (tRNA) molecules are approximately 80 nucleotides in length. Their secondary structure includes four short double-helical elements and three loops (D, anti-codon, and T loops). Lineage: Bacteria; Pseudomonadati; Planctomycetota. The record is from RNAcentral.
GGGCGAUUAGCUCAGCUGGUUAGAGCGCCGUUCUCACACAGCGGAGGUCACUGGUUCGAGUCCAGUAUCGCCCACUA